RNAcentral lists this unclassified non-coding RNA (306 nucleotides) under Hevea brasiliensis (rubber tree). The record is from RNAcentral. Lineage: Eukaryota; Viridiplantae; Streptophyta; Magnoliopsida; Malpighiales; Euphorbiaceae.
UCUAUACCUAUUCUGAACGAAUCCUCCAUAUAUUUGUGUUGAUUUGAGUUAACUCUAAUGCUGAACAAUUGUGUUUGCAGAUGUUUACAUUGCAGCACCCUGCAUUUCUUUUCCAGGUGCCACGGAGCAGGGUUUCACCUCAACGGCAGUCAUUUCUAAGCUCUCCCAUUCGUUCCCGUUUUCAUUUUCUUCCUAAUCAAAUGGCGAAAACCACAGAUUUCCUAACCUUAUUUGAAGAAGAAGAAAAUAACAACGACGCUGAUGGGGUUGGCGGUAGAGAAGAUGAUGAGAAGAAUUAUGACAAAG